RNAcentral lists this ribosomal RNA (432 nucleotides) under uncultured bacterium. RNAcentral describes it as "partial 16S ribosomal RNA". It matches the Rfam family "Bacterial small subunit ribosomal RNA", at positions 28 to 507 of the family's 1533-position model. The record is from RNAcentral.
GAUGAACGCUGGCGGUAUGCUUAACACAUGCAAGUCGAACGGUCACUUCGGUGAUAGUGGCGGACGGGUGAGUAACGCGUGAGAAUCUGUCUUCAGGUUGGGGACAACAGUUAGAAAUGACUGCUAAUACCGGAUGUGCCUUUGGGUGAAAGAUUUAUUGCCUGAAAAAGAGCUCGCGUCAGAUUAGCUAGUAGGUGGUGUAAGAGACUACCUAGGCUCCGAUCUGUAGCUGGUCUGAGAGGACGAUCAGCCACACUGGAACUGAGACACGGUCCAGACUCCUACGGGAGGCAGCAGUGGGGAAUUUUCCGCAAUGGGCGAAAGCCUGACGGAGCAAUACCGCGUGAGGGACGAAGGCUUUUGGGUCGUAAACCUCUUUUCUCAAGGAAGAUGAUGACGGUACUUGAGGAAUAAGCAUCGGCUAACUCUGUG